Molecule: transfer RNA, 57 nt
Filed under: Schistocephalus solidus
Lineage: Eukaryota; Metazoa; Platyhelminthes; Cestoda; Diphyllobothriidea; Diphyllobothriidae
Rfam family: tRNA
About the family: Transfer RNA (tRNA) molecules are approximately 80 nucleotides in length. Their secondary structure includes four short double-helical elements and three loops (D, anti-codon, and T loops).
Source: Rfam by way of RNAcentral
GAGCCCGUGGUUCAAUGGUUAGAAAGUUUGACUUCUAAUCAACAGUUCACGGGUUCC